AGUGAACGCUGGCGGUAGACCUAACACAUGCAAGUCGAACGGCAGCACAGUAAGAGCUUGCUCUUACGGGUGGCGAGUGGCGGACGGGUGAGGAAUACAUCGGAAUCUACUUUUUCGUGGGGGAUAACGUAGGGAAACUUACGCUAAUACCGCAUACGACCUACGGGUGAAAGCAGGGGAUCUUCGGACCUUGCGCGAUUGAAUGAGCCGAUGUCGGAUUAGCUAGUUGGCGGGGUAAAGGCCCACCAAGGCGACGAUCCGUAGCUGGUCUGAGAGGGUGAUCAGCCACACUGGAACUGAGACACGGUCCAGACUCCUACGGGAGGCAGCAGUGGGGAAUAUUGGACAAUGGGCGCAAGCCUGAUCCAGCCAUACCGCGUGGGUGAAGAAGGCCUUCGGGUUGUAAAGCCCUUUUGUUGGGAAAGAAAAGCAGCAGGUUAAUACCCCGCUGUUCUGACGGUACCCAAAGAAUAAGCACCGGCUAACUUCGUG
RNAcentral lists this ribosomal RNA (492 nucleotides) under uncultured bacterium. RNAcentral describes it as "partial 16S ribosomal RNA". It matches the Rfam family "Bacterial small subunit ribosomal RNA", at positions 29 to 507 of the family's 1533-position model. The record is from RNAcentral.